This 2652-nucleotide long non-coding RNA is filed under the name Pongo abelii (Sumatran orangutan). Its description in RNAcentral is "lncRNA (ENSPPYG00000038568.1)". Lineage: Eukaryota; Metazoa; Chordata; Mammalia; Primates; Hominidae. The record is from RNAcentral.
AUUGUUAGAAGGGGCACUGUUAGCUUCCUCGAUCUUUCAGAAAUGUGUGCUGGGAAUUCCAGACUCGGUGUUCAAUGGAGUCAUUCCUUUGCCUCAUAGAAGGAAGGAAAUCUAGGCCAAGCCAGGCAAGACUGCACCAGGAGGGAGAGAAAUUCAUCUUCGACAAAUCUGGCUUUCUGACAUCAGACACUUCCAUGAGUCUACAGUCCCUUUUCUUCAGUUCUACAAACGAAAAAGCUCUGAAAACUCUUUUUUGUAAGGUAGGGAUGAACCUGACAUCAAGAAAUAAGAGGCUAUUUAUUGGCUUUUUUGUUCUGUUUCAAGUAUUUACUCACUUUGUUAUAGGAAUAUUAAUGAGUUUGAUCUCAGAGUGCUGUUUCAGUUUCUACUGGGAACACUACAUUAUCUACGAUAUAUUAAUUAUCUCAGCUUCUUACAGAUGAAAUAACAGGCUCAAAGAGGUGCAGUGACUUGCCCAAGGUUGUUUCACAUCUAGGGAGAGUAAAGAGUAGAAUUGAGGUCUUCUGCCCCCUUCAUUUGUUUUUUGUUGUUUUUUCCUCAUUGCACUGUACUGCUUCCUCAUGAUAUUACCUCUGAAGACCAUCUUGAUCAAUUCUUCUGUGUGGAAGAGUUUAAGCAAUCACAUUCAUCUUAUUUGACAUUUUCUUCUAUUUGAGACAGGGUCUCACUGUGUCACCCAGGCUGGAGUGCAGUGACACCAUCACGGAUCAUUGCAGCCUCAACCUCCUAGGCUCAAGCAAUCCUCCCACCUCAUUCUCUGGAGUAGCUAGGACUACAGGUACAUGUCACUAUGCCUGGAUCAUUAGAAAGAAAAAUUUUUUGGUAGAAAUUAGGUCUUGGUAUGUUGCUCAGGCUGGUCAUUCACAGGUGUUUAAAGUGUGAUAAAUGGAUGAUUUAAGUCUGAUAGAACUUUUACACAUAUUAUACAUUUAAGUAUAUACACAUGGAAGCUCCUAGGAGUUGGUUAUGUUUACGUGGUGGAAAAAAAAACCCUUCGAAAUAAUUAUUAGUUUGAGAAAAAGACGUCAAUAAAUAAUUUCUACGUCAACACAUUGUUUUUGGUUGUUGUUGUUGUCGAGACGGAGUCUCGCACUGUUGCCCAUGCUGGAGUGCAGUGGUGCCAUCUCGGCUCACUGCAAGCUCCACCUCCUGGGUUCAUGCCAUUCUCCUGCCUCAGCCUCCCGAGUAGCUGGGACUACAGGCGCGUGCCAACACGCCCAGCUAAUUUUUUGUAUUUUUAGUAGAGACAAGGUCUCGCCGUGUUAGCCAGGAUGGUCUCGAUCUCCUGACCUCGUGAUCCACCCGCCUAAACUUCCCAAAGUGCUGGGAUUACAGGCGUGAGCCACCGCUCCCAGCCUUGUCAACACAUUGUUAUAUGUAAAAAAGCUAAUUAAAUGUGAGCUUCCAACAAUUCCCUCUGCUUCAUUCUUCUGACUCUCAACAGAUCAUGGUUAACACCAAGGGCUCUGUGUCUGAGGUUUCACAUGUUUACAUCACCUAUUUUAAACGGUCUCAACCUCACUCCACCACCACUGACCCAUCAAAUCAUUUCCGCAGCUAAAUCCGAAGUGUUCUGUAAACAGCUUUCCCUUUCAAGGAGUCUAACUGGACUCAGGUUGAACUCCCUUGUGGCUUUCUCAUGUUCCUUGAUUUAUUCAUUUGAAAUUGUCUUCCAGGAGAGAUUGUGAUAUCCUAAAUGAGGACCUCAUCCAUUUUAUUUGCUUCUCUUCUCCCUAACCUGCUACACCACCUGUUCAUUGAAGGCACAGAAUAUUUUAAACUGACCAUCACUUGCUGUAAAUUCUGGAGAUCUCAGCACAAUUCAGAAAUCCACACCCUAAAGGAGUUAUGUGUGGAUGUUAAUGCCAUCCUCACCACAAGAGGGAGCUCAUUGUCUCUUUUUCUGCAAAUCGGUGCAAAACAGUUUUCUUUUCUUUUUUUUUCUUUUGAGACGAAGUUUCGCUCUUGUUGCCCAGGCUGGAGCGCAAUGGCGCGAUCUCGGCUCACUGCAACCUCCGCCUCCCGGGUUCAAGCAAUUCUCCUGCCUCAGCCUCCCGAGUAGCUGGGAUUACAGGCGCCCGCCACCACGCCCGGCUAAUUUUUGUAUAUUUAGUAGAGAUGGGAUUUCACCAUGUUGACCAGGCUGGUCUUGAACUUCUGACCUCAGGUGAUCCACCCUCCUUGUCCUCCCAAAGUGCUGGGAUUACAGGCGUGAGCCACCGCGCCCGGCUUUUUUUUUUUUUAAUCUACGGGAUAACACUUCAUAAAAGUAACAGUGACACUAUUCAGUUUGGUUCAUUUAUAUGAUUUGACUUUUCAUAGGUUGUUAAGAAAGCAGUAAAGUCUGUGAACCUAAUUGGAUUUCCCUGACUCUGAAAAGUGUAUUGAAGAAAAAAAUGUAUAUAUGGAAAGGAGUAACUGAGGUGACAGAAAGACUUGCUGAGGAGGUGACAUGUGGGAUGGGACCUGAAGUAAUGUAUUAGUAUAAAAAGUCAGGUCAGAGGAUUCAAGGAAGAUGGCAGAAUAAAAAGCAUGAAGAAUCUGUAUCCCCCACCUGGAUUUGCAUUGGCAGAAUCCAACUGAUGUAGCUAUUUUGAAACUGUGGAUACUAUUAAAAGCUUGCAGCUUCCA